GAUGAACGCUGACAGAAUGCUUAACACAUGCAAGUCCACUUGAAUUUGGGUUUUUAACUUAGGUUUGGGUGGCGGACGGGUGAGUAACGCGUAAAGAACUUGCCUCACAGCUAGGGACAACAUUUGGAAACGAAUGCUAAUACCUAAUAUUAUGAUAAUAGGGCAUCCUAUAAUUAUGAAAGCUAUAAGCGCUGUGAGAGAGCUUUGCGUCCCAUUAGCUAGUUGGAGAGGUAACGGCUCACCAAGGCGAUGAUGGGUAGCCGGCCUGAGAGGGUGAUCGGCCAAAAGGGGACUGAGACACGGCCCUUACUCAUACGGGAGGCAGCAGUGGGGAAUAUUGGACAAUGGACCGAGAGUCUGAUCCAGCAAUUCUGUGUGCACGAUGAAGUUUUUCGGAAUGUAAAGUGCUUUCAGUUGGGAAGAAACAAAUGACGGUACCAACAGAAGAAGUGACGGCUAAAUACGUG
RNAcentral lists this ribosomal RNA (467 nucleotides) under uncultured bacterium. RNAcentral's name for it is "partial 16S ribosomal RNA". It matches the Rfam family "Bacterial small subunit ribosomal RNA", at positions 28 to 507 of the family's 1533-position model. The record is from RNAcentral.